GUCUGGGUCUCCUACAUCAUGACUCCACAGCUCUAGGUCUGUGUCUGGGUCUCCUACAUCAUGACUCCACAGCUCUAGGACUGUAUCUGGGUCUCCUACAUCAUGACUCCACAGCUCUAGGCCUGUAUCUGGGUCUCCUACAUCAUGACUCCACAGCUCUAGGCCUGUAUCUGGGUCUCCUACAUCAUGACUCCACAGCUCUAGGCCUGUAUCUGGGUCUCCUACAUCAUGACUCCACAGCUCUAGGUCUGUGUCUGUUUCUCCUACAUCAUGACUCCACAGCUCUAGGUCUGUGUCUGGGUCUCCUACAUCAUGACUCCACAGCUCUAGGACUGUAUCUGGGUCUCCUACAUCAUGACUCCACAGCUCUAGGUCUGUGUCUGGGUCUCCUACAUCGUGACUCCACAGCUCUAGGACUGUAUCUGGGUCUCCUACAUCAUGACUCCACAGCUCUAGGUCUGUGUCUGGGUCUCCUACAUCAUGACUCCACAGCUCUAGGUCUGUGUCUGGGUCUCCUACAUCAUGACUCCACAGCUCUAGGUCUGUGUCUGGGUCUCCUACAUCAUGACUCCACAGCUCUAGGACUGUAUCUGGGUCUCCUACAUCAUGACUCCACAGCUCUAGGUCUGUGUCUGGGUCUCCUACAUCAUGACUCCACAGCUCUAGGACUGUGUCUGGGUUUCCUAAAUCAUCCUCUUCCCUCCAUGUCCUCCUGGCUGCUGCUGUUCUAAGUGCUCCACUGACCUGCUGUUGUCGUCUGUCCUCCUUGGCUCAUCUGAGAUGUUUAGAUUACAUCAUAUUUGAGGACACAUAAUUUAAGGGCCUAUGUAUUUUUCAUGUUUUAUUCACCUACAAUCUUUUCCCCUCCCUUUCUGGCUGCCCUGCCCCCUUCCCUACUCAGAU
RNAcentral lists this long non-coding RNA (903 nucleotides) under Salmo salar (Atlantic salmon). Its description in RNAcentral is "lncRNA (ENSSSAG00000104541.1)". The record is from RNAcentral. Lineage: Eukaryota; Metazoa; Chordata; Actinopteri; Salmoniformes; Salmonidae.